UUACCGAGUGCGGGCCCCUCGGGGCCCAACCUCCCACCCGUGUUGCCCGAACCUAUGUUGCCUCGGCGGGCCCCGCGCCCGCCGACGGCCCCCCUGAACGCUGUCUGAAGUUGCAGUCUGAGACCUAUAACGAAAUUAGUUAAAACUUUCAACAACGGAUCUCUUGGUUCCGGCAUCGAUGAAGAACGCAGCGAAAUGCGAUAACUAAUGUGAAUUGCAGAAUUCAGUGAAUCAUCGAGUCUUUGAACGCACAUUGCGCCCUCUGGUAUUCCGGAGGGCAUGCCUGUCCGAGCGUCAUUGCUGCCCUCAAGCCCGGCUUGUGUGUUGGGCCCCGUCCCCCCCGCCGGGGGGACGGGCCCGAAAGGCAGCGGCGGCACCGCGUCCGGUCCUCGAGCGUAUGGGGCUUCGUCACCCGCUCUAGUAGGCCCGGCCGGCGCCAGCCGACCCCCAACCUUUAAUUAUCUCAGGUUGACCUCGGAUCAGGUAGGGAUACCCGCUGAACUUAAGCAUAUCAAUAAGCGGAGGAAAAG
RNAcentral lists this ribosomal RNA (530 nucleotides) under fungal endophyte. RNAcentral describes it as "eukaryotic LSU rRNA". The stretch from base 144 to 297 matches the Rfam family "5.8S ribosomal RNA". The record is from RNAcentral. Lineage: Eukaryota; Fungi.